GUGUAAGUAUGAACUAAUUUAGAUUGUGAAACUACGAAUGGCUCAUUAAAUCAGUUAUAGUUUGUUUGAUGGUUUCCGCUAAUCGGAUAGCCGUAGUAAUUCUAGAGCUAAUACGUGCAACAAACCCUGACUUCUAGAACAGAUGCAUUUAUUAGAUAGAAGGUCAACACGGGCUCUGCCUAUUGCUUCGAUGAUUCAUGAUAACUCGACGGAUCGUACGACCAUCGUGCCGUUGACGCAUCAUUAAAAUUUCUACCCUAUGAACUUUCGAUGGUAGGAUAGUGACUUACCUUGGUUGUGAUGGGUGAUGGAG
Molecule: non-coding RNA, 313 nt
Filed under: Cephalotus follicularis
Lineage: Eukaryota; Viridiplantae; Streptophyta; Magnoliopsida; Oxalidales; Cephalotaceae
Description: Eukaryotic small subunit ribosomal RNA
Rfam family: Eukaryotic small subunit ribosomal RNA
Source: Rfam by way of RNAcentral